AUUGAACGCUGGCGGCAGGCCUAACACAUGCAAGUCGAACGAGUUGCGGACGGGUGAGUAAUGUCUGGGAAACUGCCUGAUGGAGGGGGAUAACUACUGGAAACGGUAGCUAAUACCGCAUACCAUUGGAUGUGCCCAUAUGGGAUUAGCUAGUAGGUGGGGUAAAGGCUCACCUAGGCGACGAUCCCUAGCUGGUCUGCGAGGAUGACCAGCCACACUGGGAAUGAGACACGGUCCAGACUCCUACGGGAGGCAGCAGUGGGGAAUAUUGCACAAUGGGCGCAAGCCUGAUGCAGCCAUGCCGGGUGUAUGAAGAAGGCCUUCGGGUUGUAAAGUACUGUCAGCGGGGAGGCGUUACCCGCAGAAGAAGCACCGGCUAGCUCCGUGCCAACAGCCGCGGUAAUUC
RNAcentral lists this ribosomal RNA (406 nucleotides) under uncultured bacterium. RNAcentral describes it as "partial 16S ribosomal RNA". It matches the Rfam family "Bacterial small subunit ribosomal RNA", at positions 30 to 526 of the family's 1533-position model. The record is from RNAcentral.